GAUGAACGCUGGCGGUAUGCUUAACACAUGCAAGUCGAACGGACUCUUCGGAGUUAGUGGCGGACGGGUGAGUAACGCGUGAGAAUCUGGCUUUGGGUUCGGGACAACCACUGGAAACGGUGGCUAAUACCGGAUGUGCCGAGAGGUAAAAGAGAAAUUGCCUGAAGAUGAGCUCGCGUCUGAUUAGCUAGUUGGUGAGGUAAAGGCUCACCAAGGCAGCGAUCAGUAGCUGGUCUGAGAGGAUGACCAGCCACACUGGGACUGAGACACGGCCCAGACUCCUACGGGAGGCAGCAGUGGGGAAUUUUCCGCAAUGGGCGAAAGCCUGACGGAGCAAUACCGCGCGAGGGAAGAAGGCUCUUGGGUUGUAAACCUCUUUUCUUAGGGAAGAACAAAAUGACGGUACCUAAGUAAUCAGCAUCGGCUAACUCCGUG
RNAcentral lists this ribosomal RNA (435 nucleotides) under uncultured bacterium. RNAcentral describes it as "partial 16S ribosomal RNA". It matches the Rfam family "Bacterial small subunit ribosomal RNA", at positions 28 to 507 of the family's 1533-position model. The record is from RNAcentral.